UGUCUAUAUGAAGAUAUUUAUAGUCUGGCCUGCUCCCUGACUAUAAAGUUAAAGAGCCGCGGUAAUUUGACCGUGCAAAGGUAGCAUAAUCAUUAGUUUNUUAAUUGGGAACUUGUAUGAAAGGUCUGACAAAGAAAAAGCUGUCUUUAUUAUGAAAGUUGAAUUUAACUUUUAAGUGAAAAGGCUUAAAUAAUUUAGAGGGACGAUAAGACCCUAUAAAGCUUUAUAUAAAAAAAUAAUUAAAAUUAAAUUUAUAAUAAAGAUUUAAAUUAAUUAUUAUAUUUUAUUGGGGUGAUAAUGAUAAAAAUAAUAUUAACUGUUGAACAAAUAUACAUAAAUAAAAGAGUUAAGUUAGUUAAUGAUCCUUAUUUAAAGAUUAAAAGAUUAAGUUACUUUAGGGAUAACAGCGUAAUUUUUCUUGAGAGUUCAUAUCGAAAGAAAAGAUUUCGACCUCGAUGUUGAAUUAAGAUAUCUAUGUAAAGCAGUCAUUACAUAAGAAG
Molecule: ribosomal RNA, 500 nt
Filed under: Trapezia bidentata
Lineage: Eukaryota; Metazoa; Arthropoda; Malacostraca; Decapoda; Trapeziidae
Description: partial large subunit ribosomal RNA
Rfam family: Bacterial large subunit ribosomal RNA
Source: RNAcentral